GGCAAGAUGGCCGAGUUGGUCCAUGGCGCGAGGUUAAGGUCAAUAAUCUUAACACGAUUUCCUCGUGGGGAAACCCUCGUGGGUUCGAAUCCCACUCUUGUCA
Molecule: non-coding RNA, 103 nt
Organism: Annulohypoxylon truncatum
Lineage: Eukaryota; Fungi; Ascomycota; Sordariomycetes; Xylariales; Hypoxylaceae
Source: the annotation of a RefSeq genome assembly